ACGGAGGGUGCGAGCGUUGUCCGGAAUCACUGGGCGUAAAGGGCGCGUAGGCGGCCUGAUAAGUAGGGGGUGAAAUCUUGCGGCUUAACCGCAAGGCUGCCUUCUAAACUGUCAGGCUAGAGCACAGUAGAGGCAGGUGGAAUUCCAGGUGUAGCGGUGAAAUGCGUAGAUAUCUGGAGGAACACCGGUGGCGAAGGCGGCAUCCUGGACCGGUAUUGACGCUGAGGCGCGAAAGCCAGGGGAGCAAACGGGA
This 253-nucleotide ribosomal RNA is filed under the name uncultured prokaryote. RNAcentral describes it as "partial 16S ribosomal RNA". It matches the Rfam family "Bacterial small subunit ribosomal RNA", at positions 525 to 777 of the family's 1533-position model. The record is from RNAcentral.